Molecule: ribosomal RNA, 329 nt
Filed under: Machiloides sp. GG-2001
Lineage: Eukaryota; Metazoa; Arthropoda; Insecta; Archaeognatha; Machilidae
Description: eukaryotic LSU rRNA
Rfam family: Eukaryotic large subunit ribosomal RNA
Source: RNAcentral
CCAAGGAGUCUAACAUGUGCGCGAGUCGUAGGGUGAGACUAAACCCGAAGGCGCAAUGAAAGUGAAGGCCGUUCUCUUUAGACGGCAUCGAGGGGAGAUCCCCCGUUCCUCUCUCGAGGCGGGGGCGCAUCCCCGGGACGUCUCGUCUCGCAAGUCUUCGGACCGAGUGAGGCGUACCUAGAGCGCACACGUUGGGACCCGAAAGAUGGUGAACUAUGCCUGGCUAGGACGAAGCCAGGGGAAACCCUGGUGGAGGUCCGAAGCGAUUCUGACGUGCAAAUCGAUCGUCAAAACUGGGUAUAGGGGCGAAAGACUAAUCGAACCAUCUA